This 464-nucleotide ribosomal RNA is filed under the name uncultured bacterium. RNAcentral's name for it is "bacterial SSU rRNA". It matches the Rfam family "Bacterial small subunit ribosomal RNA", at positions 338 to 795 of the family's 1533-position model. The record is from RNAcentral.
CCUACGGGUGGCAGCAGUAGGGAAUCUUCGGCAAUGGACGAAAGUCUGACCGAGCAACACCGCGUGAGUGAAGAAGGUUUUCGGAUCGUAAACUCUGUUGUUAGAGAAGAACAAGUAGGAGAGUAACUGCUCUUACCUUGACGGUAUCUAACCAGAAAGCCGCGGCUAACUACGUGCCAGCAGCCGCGGUAAUACGUAGGUGGCAAGCGUUGUCCGGAUUUAUUGGGCGUAAAGCGAGCGCAGGCGGUCUUUUAAGUCUGAUGUGAAAGCCCUCGGCUCAACCGAGGAAGGUCAUUGGAAACUGGAGGACUUGAGUGCAGAAGAGGAGAGUGGAAUUCCAUGUGUAGCGGUGAAAUGCGUAGAUAUAUGGAGGAACACCAGUGGCGAAGGCGACUCACUGGUCUGUAACUGACGCUGAGGCUCGAGAGCGUGGGGAGCAAACAGGAUUAGAUACCCGUGUAGUC